GAUGAACGCUGGCGGUGUGCCUAAUACAUGCAAGUCGAGCGAACAGACGAGGAGCUUACUCCUCUGACGUUAGCGGCGGACGGGUGAGUAACACGUGGAUAACCUACCUAUAAGACUGGGAUAACUUCGGGAAACCGGAGCUAAUACCGGAUAACAUGUUGAACCGCAUGGUUCAACAGUGAAAGACGGUCUUGCUGUCACUUAUAGAUGGAUCCGCGUCGCAUUAGCUAGUUGGUAAGGUAACGGCUUACCAAGGCAACGAUGCGUAGCCGACCUGAGAGGGUGAUCGGCCACACUGGAACUGAGACACGGUCCAGACUCCUACGGGAGGCAGCAGUAGGGAAUCUUCCGCAAUGGGCGAAAGCCUGACGGAGCAACGCCGCGUGAGUGAAGAAGGUCUUCGGAUCGUAAAACUCUGUUAUUAGGGAAGAACAAAUGUGUAAGUAAUUAUGCACGUCUUGACGGUACCUAAUCAGAAAGCCACGGCUAACUACGUG
Molecule: ribosomal RNA, 497 nt
Filed under: uncultured bacterium
Lineage: Bacteria
Description: partial 16S ribosomal RNA
Rfam family: Bacterial small subunit ribosomal RNA
Source: RNAcentral